RNAcentral lists this transfer RNA (69 nucleotides) under Sphaerodactylus townsendi. Its description in RNAcentral is "tRNA-Ala". Lineage: Eukaryota; Metazoa; Chordata; Lepidosauria; Squamata; Sphaerodactylidae. The record is from RNAcentral.
GCUGUAGUUUAGCAGUAGAGCAUCUACUUUGCAUGCAGAAGGUUGCAAGUUCAAUCCUUGGCUCCUCCA